Molecule: ribosomal RNA, 432 nt
Filed under: uncultured bacterium
Lineage: Bacteria
Description: partial 16S ribosomal RNA
Rfam family: Bacterial small subunit ribosomal RNA
Source: RNAcentral
GACGAACGCUGGCGGCAUGCCUAACACAUGCAAGUCGAACGAGACCUUCGGGUCUAGUUGCGCACGGGUGCGUAACGCGUGGGAACCUGCCCUUAGGUGCGGAAUAACUCCCCGAAAGGGGUGGUAAUACCGGAUAAAGUCUGCGGACCAAAGAUUUAUCGCCUUUGGGUGGGCCCGCGUUGGAUUAGCUAUUUGGUAGGGUAAAAGCCGACCAAGGCGAGGAUCCAUAGCUGGUCUGAGAGGAUGAUCAGCCACACUGGGCCUGAGACACGGCCAAGAAGGAUUCGGGAGGAAGCAGUGGGGAACAUAGGCAAACGGGCGAAAGCCAGAACCAGCACUGCCGGGUGAGUGAUCAAGGCUUAAGGGUUGUAAAGCUCUUUUACCCGGGAUGCUAAGGAGAGAACCGGGAGAAUAAGACCCGGUAAACUCGGU